Molecule: ribosomal RNA, 497 nt
Filed under: uncultured bacterium
Lineage: Bacteria
Description: partial 16S ribosomal RNA
Rfam family: Bacterial small subunit ribosomal RNA
Source: RNAcentral
GACGAACGCUGGCGGCGUGCCUAAUACAUGCAAGUUGAGCGAUGAAGAUUGGUGCUUGCACCAAUUUGAAGAGCAGCGAACGGGUGAGUAACGCGUGGGGAAUCUGCCUUUGAGCGGGGGACAACAUUUGGAAACGAAUGCUAAUACCGCAUAACAACUUUAAACAUAAGUUUUAAGUUUGAAAGAUGCAAUUGCAUCACUCAAAGAUGAUCCCGCGUUGUAUUAGCUAGUUGGUGAGGUAAAGGCUCACCAAGGCGAUGAUACAUAGCCGACCUGAGAGGGUGAGCGGCCACAUUGGGACUGAGACACGGCCCAAACUCCUACGGGAGGCAGCAGUAGGGCAUCUUCGGCAAUGGACGAAAGUCUGACCGAGCAACGCCGCGGGAGUGAAGAAGGUUUUCGGAUCGUAAAACUCUGUUGGUAGGGAAGAACGUUGGUGAGAGUGGAAAGCUCAUCAAGUGACGGUAACUACCCAGAAAGGGACGGCUAACUACGUG